Molecule: ribosomal RNA, 429 nt
Filed under: uncultured bacterium
Lineage: Bacteria
Description: bacterial SSU rRNA
Rfam family: Bacterial small subunit ribosomal RNA
Source: RNAcentral
ACCGGCGCGACGGGUGACGUAACGCGUAUGACUAAUCCUUACUUUGCAGGAGGGAUACGCCCAGAAGUAAAGUUUGGUAAUUAACUACCUCAUAGUAUGUGAAGAAUGGCAUCUAUUUUCACAUUAAAGUCACAACGGCAAAAGAUGAGCAUGCGUCCCAUUAGCUUGUUGGUAAGGUAACGGCUUACCAAGGCUACGAUGGGUAGGGGUCCUGAGAGGGAGAUCCCCCACACUGGUACUGAGACACGGACCAGACUCCUACGGGAGGCAGCAGUGAGGAAUAUUGGACAAUGGGCGCAAGCCUGAUCCAGCCAUGCCGCGUGCAGGAUGACGGUCCUAUGGAUUGUAAACUGCUUUUGUACAGGAAGAAACACUGGUUCGUGAACCAGCUUGACGGUACUGUAAGAAUAAGGAUCGGCUAACUCCGUG